AAAGACGGAAACACAAGCAUAGCAGCAGAUGAACAAUAGUAUGUAUAACAGUUCAGACUAUCACUAGAGAAAAAUCAACAAUCGUAGCUAAGUAUCAGUACAUCGACAACGGCAGCAAACAUCCAACACAGCACGACACCAUUUUCAAUCUUUAAUCUAUCACAUUGGAAACGAGAAGACGGAGAAAUCAAGUGGAAGGGUGUUUACCUCUUCGAGUGCAGCGAAACAGGGACGAUGGCGAGCAAACGACCGUUCCACCACACGAUCGCGAACAGACUUCAGCUUCAGGCGAAGGGGCAACUCGACAGUCCCGAACAAUGGAAUCGAAAUAGGAAGGGAAAGGAGAAACUGACGAAGCUCACUGUCUGUUUAUGAACUUCCUUAAAACUCUCUUCUUAUCUAUUCUUAGUUUCA
Molecule: unclassified non-coding RNA, 414 nt
Filed under: Hevea brasiliensis (rubber tree)
Lineage: Eukaryota; Viridiplantae; Streptophyta; Magnoliopsida; Malpighiales; Euphorbiaceae
Source: RNAcentral